This 222-nucleotide ribosomal RNA is filed under the name uncultured bacterium. Its description in RNAcentral is "partial 16S ribosomal RNA". It matches the Rfam family "Bacterial small subunit ribosomal RNA", at positions 524 to 744 of the family's 1533-position model. The record is from RNAcentral.
UACGUAGGGUGCGAGCGUUGUCCGGAAUUAUUGGGCGUAAAGAGCUUGUAGGCGGUUUGUCGCGUCUGCCGUGAAAUUUCGAGGCUCAACCUUGGGCUUGCAGUGGGUACGGGCAGACUAGAGUGCGGUAGGGGUGACUGGAAUUCCUGGUGUAGCGGUGGAAUGCGCAGAUAUCAGGAGGAACACCGAUGGCGAAGGCAGGUCACUGGGCCGCAAACUGAC